AUUGAACGCUGGCGGCAUGCUUUACACAUGCAAGUCGAACGGCAGCGCGGGCUUCGGCCUGGCGGCGAGUGGCGAACGGGUGAGUAAUGCAUCGGAACGUGCCCAGUAGUGGGGGAUAGCCCGGCGAAAGCCGGAUUAAUACCGCAUACGACCUGAGGGUGAAAGCGGGGGACCGAAAGGCCUCGCGCUAUUGGAGCGGCCGAUGUCGGAUUAGCUAGUUGGUGGGGUAAAGGCUUACCCAGGCGACGAUCCGUAGCUGGUCUGAGAGGACGACCAGCCACACUGGGACUGAGACACGGCCCAGACUCCUACGGGAGGCAGCAGUGGGGAAUUUUGGACAAUGGGGGCAACCCUGAUCCAGCCAUGCCGCGUGCGGGAAGAAGGCCUUCGGGUUGUAAACCGCUUUUGUUCGGGAAGAAAUCCUCUGGGAUAAUACCCCGGGGGGAUGACGGUACCGGAAGAAUAAGCACCGGCUAACUACGUG
RNAcentral lists this ribosomal RNA (484 nucleotides) under uncultured bacterium. RNAcentral describes it as "partial 16S ribosomal RNA". It matches the Rfam family "Bacterial small subunit ribosomal RNA", at positions 28 to 507 of the family's 1533-position model. The record is from RNAcentral.